GUAAGGUACCGAACUUCUAAAAUUAUGAAGUUAUGGUGUAUAUUUGGUUGGAAAGCCAUUUGAAUGGUUCAGAUGAAGUUCGGUGAAGUUCGGAAACAUUCGGGAGUUUUCGGAGCGCAUAGGCGCGAAAACGGAACCCGAAAAACUAUGUCGGGUCGAAAACUAAAUCCGACAUUAGCGUGGGUGAAAAGAUGAUGUAAAUACGCUCGAAAAUAUGUUUGGAAAGUCUCGGUUCGAUUUGAAAAGAAUCGGAGGCCAAACGAGCGAAAACGAGCGAAAACGGAGAAGAAACGAAAAAGGCUGAAAUUUGGCUAAGUUCUAAAAAUGCUGAAAUUCUGGACUUACGGGGACCGCUCCCCCAUUUGUAUAGAGAACCGGUCCCUUAUACAAAAAAUGCCCCGCACGGGCUCCGCACUAAAAUACAAAGUUGAGGGGGUUUCUUGCAAUUUGGUGUUAAUAGGGGUUAAAGGGAGGUGAUAUGAGCCCUUCUCUCUCACUCUCUCAUAUUCUAAACACCAAAACAUUAUCCCUCUCUCUCUCUAAGCUCUCAUUCUCUCUCUCUAGAAGGGGAUCCAAGAGAAGGAGUUGGAGAAGAAGCAAGCUUGGAAGUGAGUUUUCAUCUUCCUCAUCUUCUUCCUCACCAUUGGAGGAGUUUGUAGAGGUAAGCUUCUUGGUAGCAACCAUGGUAGCUUUCUAGAAUAUAGAUUUUAAUCUCUAGAAUUGGUUUAUUUGGAAUCCUAGCAUGCUAAAUAGGUGAUAAAUGCUAGAAUCUAGAGAUUAAACGGUAGAUUUUGCAAUAGUUGCAAACUAGGGCAUCCAAAAAGGGUUUUGGUAUAUAUGUGGGUUUGAUCUCAAUUGACCCUCCGUAAACCUAAUUGCUAGAUAUUCUGACGCAUUGGCGAAGUCGGUUCCGCGAUUCGUCGAGCCUACGCGAAGAUAUUGAAGAAACGGACAAUUUAGCUUCGUUUCCGUCUUGAGGGCCGAGGCGACGUCCAAAAAUCAUGAAAAAGGAUUUGUGGCAUCGCGGCAUCAAGUUGUAGACCUAUAAUUUUCGGGACCACGAUUCGGCGCACGGUUGGGGUGCGAUUGCAAGAUCGGGCUGAACUGGAUAGGAUGCCGCGGGAGGCCGAUUGCAAGUGACUACAAACAAUCGGAGAGCGAAUCGAGGUGGAUUGUGCUCACCGAAGCGAUUAGGUCACCUCUAUGUCUAAGAGAAAUAUGAAUUCAUGUUGAUGCAUAUAAAUGCUAGAUGAUACAUGUAGUUAACACUAAAAGAAUGCAUGUUGAUGACAUGAAGUAAAGGAUAAAUGAAUGCUUGAGAUAAUUGCUAUGCAAUGACUAUUAUAGAAAUGCUAGCUAAUUGCAUAAUGCUAGGAGAAGCAUAAUAAAAUAGUGACUAUUAAAGAAUGCAUGUUGGCAUUGAGAUGAAUGCAUGAUUAUAUAUAUAUAUGUAAACUAGAUCGAUAUCUCUAGAGUGAGUAGAGAACUCGACAUUGGAAAUAGAAACAUGAGAACUAUAAAAUACUCGACUGGACAACUAGGAUGUCAAGUAGAUCGAGUGGCAUUGAACCUAGUGUUAGUAAACAUAGGUCGAACACGAGUAACAUUUAACCUAGUGUAAUUAAACAUAGGUUGAACAUAAAUGACAUUGAACCUAGUGUCAGUAAACAUAGGUUGAACAAGUGAACCUAGAGUCAAGAUCUAGAUGAGUGGUAUCGAACCUAAUGUUAAAGAAUAUAGAUUGUGGAUUAAACCUAGAGUUAAGUGAACCUAGGUUAUGUGAUAGAGGCAUAGAACCUAGAGUCAGUUGGACCUAGAGUGGAAAGGACACCGGACCUAGAUAGGUCGAUACUAUAGGGUUUGAGACCAACCCUUGAGUUAUGUGAAGUGGAUUCCGGAAUCCCUAGUGAUGUAGCCGCAAAAGAAGCGGUGGAAUCUUGCAGCAGGAUACAAGAGAUGGCAAGCGAAUUAUAACUGCAAGUAUGUGUGGUUCUACUCGCCUGGCAGUGAUUCAACGGGUAUGUGUAGUUCUCCUCGCCCCGGAUGCCAUGAGAAUAAGCUUGAAAUGGGUAUGUGUGGUUCUCCUCGCUCAUUUAGCUUAUUGAAUGAUGCCGCCUAGAUUGACUUGAACCAUUGCUGGGUAAGGGCGAUGAGUUCGCCGCCAGAUGACUAAGGCAUGACUUGAACUAUUGUUUGUGAGAUGCGAUGAGUUCGCCGCCAGAUGGCUAAGUCAUGACUUGAGUCAUUGUUGGGUGAGAUGCGAUGAGUUCGCUGUCAGAUGGCUAAGUCAGAGGUGCGGUAGGCUGUGACGGCAGCCAGGCUGAGGUGCAGCCAGUGCGAGGACUAUCCACGGAUGAUUGACUCGAGGCCGAGUUAGGUGGAUAGCUUGGUAGAGAUAGUAGAAACCUUAAAAGCUAGUGAUAGAGACAAGAGCUAAGAUAGUUGGACUUGAGUUGAGAACCUAAGGUAGUAGAAACCUUAGAAUUGAAUGAUAUGAGCUAAAGAUAGUAAAGUUGAACGUAGAAUCAAUAGAUCUACUAGUUGAUUGCACAUAUUCAUAUUGCAUAUUGUGAGACGUGUUAUCUGUUAGUUAGAUAUUACAUGAUGAUAUAUAUAUAUAUAUAUAUAUAUAUAUAUAUGUAUAUCUAACAGGUGAAGAACAUGUAAUCAACAUGGAAUUAAAAUCUCUGCAGUAAUGAAUAUAACAUGAACAUAAGCAUGAAUAUGUAAAUCUCUACUGUAACCGGUAAACAUUCAUUACUGUCAAAUGUCAUUUAAUACUUUUAUUUCGUCCAUAAGGACCUACUCAAGGUAGUCCGGCUUGCGCCGCGCCUAAUGGCCCCGNUACUAGUUGAUUGCACAUAUUCAUAUUGCAUAUUGUGAGACGUGUUAUCUGUUAGUUAGAUAUUACAUGAUGAUAUAUAUAUAUAUAUAUAUAUAUAUAUAUAUAUAUAUAUAUAUAUAUCUGUAGAUGUUUUCGGACUAACUUGAUUGCAGUGCCUCCUUGGACCUAUUGGCCGAGCUUCUUUCUUGGGUAGCCGUACCCACUUGGAACUAUAGAAUUAGUUCUCACCCCACGUUGUUUUGGGAUGUUACAGGUUCGCACGUGAGCGGCGCGGCGGCGCGAGACAAGGGUGUAGCUCCAUAGAUAGCGCCCUACCCCAAAGACCAGAGAUAGCGGUACCCCGAGUCGGCAUAACCUAGAGGUAGAGAAAAAUGAAAAGAACAAGAUGUACUAAAACUUGUAAACAAAUGAUGUAGUAACUUGAUUGUAUUUGAAAGUCAUAAAAUGUAUUAUGUGAGAGUGAUGUAAAAAUGAAUCUAAUGGGAAUGCUUGUAAUAACAUAGGAUGUGUUAUAUUGUUUGAUACCUUCUUUAUGCAAUCAUUGUACGAAUACCGUUCCUGUUUGGAACCUUUUGUAUUGUACUGUUUGUUGAGCCUUGAACAGUACAGGGAAGACUCUGUCCGCGGUACAGGAAAAACCGUGUCUGUUCGGCGCUGUCAGAGGUCCGAACCCGGCCAAAUAAGCGUGGGGCUCGGGGCAUGACAGAAGGUUGUAUCAGAGCAUAGAGUAGAUAAUGAAAAAAUGGUUUAGAUGGACCUAGGAGACCCUAGGAUAGUAAAACCAUAGGAGAAUAAGGCUAAUGAGAGACGAGGACUUGUGACUUGUAGCGAAAGGUUAAUAGAUUGGGUUGUGUCGAAACCUCUAAGAUAGAUAUUAGAGGUAGACUCGAGGUGUGGUUUAUUCUCAGCUGAGGAUGUUCAUGUUGGCGUACGACAACAUGAAACCUAGUGAUGAGAAUAGACGUCCUUGCGCGACUUUCGCCUGAUUGACUCUUCAGUCGUUGUUAAUGGUCUCGUGUUUGACCCUGAGGGUCGAGAGCUAAUCGAGUUGUCCUGUUUCAGGAAACGAUAGCACCGCGUAGGCGAUCUUCAUCUAGAUCAGCACGGGAGGAGACAAGUGGUGUCCCCGAGCAAAACGACGUAAGCGGAGACUCAGAGCUUCGUGAUCAGUUUGCCACUCUCGUCGGAGUGGUAAGGCAACAGGCUGAUGUGGUGCAGCGGCAGCAAGAGGCUGUCAUGCGCCAGGAGGAGCGAAUAAAAAGACUCCAAGAAACGGUGGAUCAGUUAGUGACCACACCAACUUCGGCUCGUCAGGUACGGCCGGGAGUUACGGCGGAGAUGUUCCCGUCGGGGUCGGGUGAUCCGACUCCUGUUAGUUCAGAGGUGGAGGCGGAGAGCGAACGAGCUUUGGCGGCCCUCAUGGCUUUCAAGAAGUUUGAUCCGCCUACCUUUGAUGGAGAGGACGCAGAUCCGUGGAUCGUUGAGAUGUGGAUUGAUUCUAUAGAAACGCUCUUCGAGGAGUUGUACACCUUGGAGCGGGACAAGGUGCCCCUAGCCAUGCACUGUUUGAAGUUGUCGACAAAGGCGUAGUGGAAAGGCAUUCGACGGAAUCGAUCGCCUAGUCUCCCUCCUAUAGCAUGGGAUGAGUUUCGUGGAUUGGUAUUUUCAACUUACUUCCCCGAUAGUGAAAAGAGAAAGCUUCAGGAAAGGUUUAGGAAGCUGCGGCAAGGAGACCGCUCUGUGAGGAAAUACGAACGGGAGUUUUUCCGCAUCGUGAAUUGUGUCCCGGAUGUGGUCCGAGAUGACAAAGAUAUGGCCGAUUGGUUCUUGCGUGGACUUCGACUAGAGAUUUAUAAGGAGGUGCAAAUCUUCAAGCUCACAACCUUCGCGGAGGUGUUGGAUCGAGCGUUGCUGGCAGAGCACGGCGAGGCUUUCGUGCGUGAGGAGCACGAGUCUUCUGAACGUGAGCGGGGAGGAGUGAGGCCACUGUCGAGCGAUUCGGGUGGACAAUUAAGUUCUAGGCGCCACUCGAAGUCGUCCUCUACCAGGUCCUCCCCAGGAUGCGUGAUUUGUGGUGAUUUCCACUGGGCUCGGGGGUGUGUACUGCGCGAUGGAAGAUGCUUUCGUUGUGGGCAGCCGGGCCAUACGCGGGACGAGUGUCCACAAACUGAUAGUCGGGCCUUAACAUUGACGACAGUCUUUUUCUCUCUAGGACAGUCUGCAGGUGUGCCUCCUGCGGCAUGGUCGAAAGAGCGGCUGUUGAGGAUAAUGCCACCGAGGGGUUCGCGGCGGGCAGCAAGUGGCCGUGGAUACACGACCUAGGUGGAGGAACCUGCUACUACCGACGAUGUCAUGGCAGGUAUGAGUUAAUUAAGCAAGCAUAUGCUGCUACCUGAUAUCAAGUUGUUGCAUAGCAUGCAUUUAUCUUAUGGUCAAUUGCUACUAUUUAUACAUUGCAUAGUAGGGACCUAUUGGACGGGUAGGGAGAUACCCGGGCAUGCUUGCAUUUUGAAAGUGUGGCGCCUGUUGGAGCAGGUAGAGAGCCAAGUGGUACUAGCAAAUGGCUAGUAAUGGUUCUUGGACAAGGAGUGGGACUCGUGGUAAACCUGAAAUGGUGAAUUGACUCUCAAGGCAAUGGAUAGGGGAUUGCCAGAGUUGGAUCUUGAUGCUUGUGGAAAUCCGAGUAGCUUGACACCCGGUUUGGAAUGGGUACAAGAGGGGGGAUAAAGGGAUUAUCCCCCCUCUUAUACCCAAACACAAUUUGGGGGGGGGGGGGGGUGGGUGGAACACUUGUUCCACCCAAGGGAUUGGAACAAGGGUGGAACACUUGUUCCAUCCUUCCCGGCAGCAGAGAGAGAGAGAGAGAGCAGAUUUUUAAUUUUAAUUUUAAUUUCUAAAAUUUAUAAUUUAGUUUUUAAAAAUUUAAAUUUAUAAUUUUAAAUUAUAAAUUUUAAUGUUUAAAUUAUAAAUUUGAUAUUUGUAAUUUUUAAAUUUUAAAUUUAAUUUUUUAGAUUUAAAAUUUAAAAUUUUAUAUUUUAUAUCUUUCAAAUUUAAAUUUGAUCUUAAAUUUAAAAUUUGAUAUUUAAAAUUUAAAUUUUGAAAAUUAUAAGUUUUAAUUUUAAUUUCAAAUUUUAAAAUUUAAAAGUUAAAAUUUUUAUUUUAAAAUUACUAGUUUAAAAUGUUAAAUUCAAUUAUAGAGGUAAAAUUAUUAUUUUCUAUCUAUAACUACCAACUAUUCCACCUUAUACUUAAAUUUUUAUCCAAAUAUAAUUUUUCUAGUUCCAGCUUAUACUCAUAUUUUCAUCUAAACAAAAAAAUACCCUUGUUCCUACGAAAAUCCAUUCUUGUACCUGUCCCCGGUAUAACUAGUUCUUGCUUAUACCAGAACCAAACGAAGCCUGAGAGUUUCGAAUACCGUUCAGGUAGAUCGAAUGGUGAAACUGGAAUCACUGUUGAGAAAAUAGCCGAAUGGUUAUCGAGUACGAGCACGUGGGCCUAUUAGUACCUCGAAUUGAGGUGGGUGAGCCAUGCUCGUGUGGUCGGCGUGCAUAGGCAAGGUUGCCUGAUGCUUGACAUAGUUGGAACGCUAUAGAGGCGUGUGGAGCGCUCGAGUAUAGGUACUCGUAGAGUAUGGAUGUGAAUCAACCGAGAGAGUGAGAUGGCAGUAGCACUAUAGCAUUGCUAAGUGUGAAGCGGGCCAUGAAUCACUCGUGGGGCUGGCAACUCGCACUAGGUGCUUAGAAGCCUAUAGUGGUACGUGUGACUCGAUAGAGUAUGUCGUGUAGGACGAUGACGAUGGGUAUCGCUUCGGGACGAUCCGUGCCUGGACCAUUUGUGGAUUGUGGAGCCUGGGCGCUUUGGGUAAGCGCAGUCCAGCUGUGAGUGACAGCGGUCCGGUACCUACGGGUAGAGCAGAGUUUUGGUCAGGACGGUAGUUCGAGCUUAGACCCGGAAGCAUGGAAUGCCACGUGUUGGAUCAUGAGAUUGAGGAUACACCGAGAGUGUGGUUGUGACCCAACCCAAGGACUUGACGUGCUUUGGGGACUUGAUUGCUCCUAGUUGGAGUGUGUGCAAAUUCUCCAAUGAGAAUUUCGCCCAAUGAUGAUUGGGUCUAUGUGCGAGCGAGAGACACCGUGCGUAGUUGAGACAGGUUUAGGAGGUAGGCCUAAGCAGUAUUGGUGACCGUUGGUCCACCUGUGGAAGCCGACGUAAUCGGUUUAGCCGAUAGCGCUAUGGAUGAGUUGGGAUUAGAUUCACGAACGGAGUGUUCGUGUGAGCUCGUUGCGGCAGCGAAGUUGAGUUGGUCGUGGCUUAUGAUGGCAAAGGAUGAAAUGCUCUAGUGAGACAUUGAGCUAAUGGAAACCAUGGGAGAAUUGGAGCUUAAGGAUAAAGCUCUUUUGUGGAUUGAGAUUGGAGAUGUGCCGGAGUGUGCCAUCUCAUAAUAGAGCAAGGAUCCAGUUGGAAUUGGAGCACUCGUGAUUGGUCGAUGCACCAACGAUAUUGCUUCUAAGCAAUGCCGGUGAUCGAGUCGGAGUGAGUUUCCGAUUGGGUGUGUAAUGCAAAGAAUGGUUCUUUGCAUGAUGGUAAUGCACUUGUGGAGUUAUACUUGGCAAAUGUGAGUGGAUUUGGUCUCACAUCCUCUGUAGUGGGCCUUUGGAUGGUUUAGAUAAGUGAAAGGCCACUCCGGAGUGCGAAAGUGCAUUGGAACCCUCAACUACUCAAUAAGCUAAGUUGAGGUGUGGAUUGGAUUAUAAGUGAGUUGAGUUUCUAGGACGAAACUCUUUUAAGGAGGGGAUGAUGUAAGGUACCGGACUACUAAAAUUAUAAAGUUAUGGUGUACAUUUGGUUGGAAAGCCAUUUGAAUGGUUUCGGUGAAGUUCGGUGAAGUUCGGGAGCAUUCGGGCGUUUUCAGAGCGCGUAGACACGAAAACGGGACCCGAAGGGCUAUGUCGGGCCCAGAACUAAAUCCGACAUUAGCGUGGGUGAAAAGAUGAUGUAAAUACGCUCGAAAACAUGUUUGGAGAGUUUCGAUUCGAUUUGAAAAGAAUCGGAGGCCAAACGAGCGAAACGGAGAAGAAACGAAAAAGGCUGAAAUUUGGCUAAGACCUAAAAAUGCUGAAAUUCUGGACUUACGGGG
This 7982-nucleotide long non-coding RNA is filed under the name Ananas comosus (pineapple). RNAcentral's name for it is "long non-coding RNA (ACOM_LNC028205)". Lineage: Eukaryota; Viridiplantae; Streptophyta; Magnoliopsida; Poales; Bromeliaceae. The record is from RNAcentral.